GACGAACGCUGGCGGCGUGCCUAAUACAUGCAAGUCGAGCGCAGGAAGUCAUCCGAACCCUUCGGGGGGACGUUGACGGAAUGAGCGGCGGACGGGUGAGUAACACGUAAAGAACCUGCCCUCAGGUCUGGGAUAACCACGAGAAAUCGGGGCUAAUACCGGAUGGGUCAUCGGACCGCAUGGUCCGAGGAUGAAAGGCGCUCCGGCGUCGCCUGGGGAUGGCUUUGCGGUGCAUUAGCUAGUUGGUGGGGUAAUGGCCCACCAAGGCGACGAUGCAUAGCCGACCUGAGAGGGUGAUCGGCCACACUGGGACUGAGACACGGCUCAGACUCCUACGGGAGGCAGCAGUAGGGAAUCUUCCACAAUGGACGAAAGUCUGAUGGAGCAACGCCGCGUGAACGAUGAAGGCCCUCGGGUCGUAAAGUUCUGUUGUAAGGGAAGAACAAGUGCCGCAGGCAAUGGCGGCACCUUGACGGUACCUUGCGAGAAAGCCACGGCUAACUACGUG
Molecule: ribosomal RNA, 508 nt
Filed under: uncultured bacterium
Lineage: Bacteria
Description: partial 16S ribosomal RNA
Rfam family: Bacterial small subunit ribosomal RNA
Source: RNAcentral